CCCUUUCUGGAGGUGGAUGUCCCAUCUCUGGAGAAUUCAGGAUUCAGUCACCCUGUUCAUUAUUAUGGAAGAGUGUAGCUGCCUUUGCUGCUGUUGGAAUCUGCUGUUCAGAGGCAGAUAAUGCCUUUCCCUAACAGGACGUUUGACUGAGUGGGGAGCAAAGAAUAAAGCACAAAAUUUAAGUCCAAAUGGAUCAAAGAUCUCAACAUAAAUCUACAACCACACUGAACCUCUUAGAAGAGAAAGUGGGAAGUACCCAUGAACAAAGUGGGAUAAGAGGUCCUGACCCUUUCUGCGUUGUUCCUAUAGAACAUGCAAUUAUCCCAUAUUACUCAACUGGUGAACAAACGUGUCCAGAGACCUUCUUGGAGGUGGAGCCUACAAAACCCCAAUGUGCAUCUUCUAAAACUGCUAACAGUGCAACUUCACCAAGGGACCAGCGAGAUCCACCAGUGAGGAAGGUGAAGGUGGUGUCUACAAAAAGCACAUUUGUGUCCAUAAUGGGGAGAAAAGUCUGUCGGAAUUACACUUUUGUUCCUCGGUUCACUGAAGAAUAUCAAGUCCGAGCUGGUACUUCCAAAGAAAGAGCAGAAAGUGAAAUGGAAGUGGCCCCUGACCCUGCUAACAGUGAAACUUCACCAAGGGACCAGCGAAAGCCACCAGUGAGGAUGGUGAAGGUGGUAUCUAAAAAACACAGAUCUGUGUCCAAAAUCUGGAGGAAACUCUCUCAGAAUAGUGCUGUUUUUCCUCGGGACACAGAAGAACCUCAAGUCCAAGCUGGUACUUCCAAACAAACUCCACAAAGUGAAAUGGAAGUGUCUCCUGAACCUGCUAACAGUGAAGCUUCACCAAGGGUUCAGCGAAAGCCUCCAUUGAGGAUGGUGAAGGUGUCUUCUAGAAAAUGCAUGUAUGGCUCACAUUCAUUGAGACAAAUGUGUUGGAGGUGCCCUGUUGUUCGCAAAUUUUCUAAACAACCUGAAAUCCAAGCUUCAGCUUUCAUAGAGGGACCACAAAGUGAAAUGGAAGUGUACCCUGAACAUUCUAACAGCAUAGCUUCACCAGUGGGCCAGCAAAAUCCACAAGGAAGGAUGGAGAAGAUGAUAUAUAAAAAACGCAGAUGUGUUUCUGCCGUCUUAAAGGAAAUUUAUCAAAAGCAACAUAUGGUCCCCCUUAAUGAGGACAAACCUCAAGACAUCACUGGUACCUCCAGAGAAAAACCACAAGUAAAAACAGAAGUGGAACAUAAAAAUGCUGACAUGGCACCUUCACCAGGGGAACAGAGAGAGCCACCAGCGAUGAUGGCGAAGGUGGAGUCUAGAAAACACAUUCGCAUUCCUGCAUUCUUAAGAGGAAGUUUUUGGAAGAAAGCUGUUGCCCCUCAGGGAUCUCCCAUCUCUGAAGCUCCUUCUGCAGAAACAACACAAAAGAAAAUGGAAGAAGUACCUGAACACGGUGACAAUGUGUCUUCACCAAAGGACCAGAAAACACCAGUGCAGGCGAUGAAGGUGGAGUGUAGAAAACUCACAGGAAUAUCUUGUAUAAAUGGUGACCAUCAAUAGCUGGAGGCCGAUAAAUAUUAACCAAUGACUAGAAUGACCCCGGGAUCCCAGAACCUACUACUUCCAGAACAUGGACUCCAGGACAGUGGCUUUGUCACAUCUAAGACCUCUGAAAUUGGAGUCAAGGCAUCUCCCAAGCCUUCCAGGAAGAACUCACCUGCUUCAUCUGCUUGGGCUGCCUCACAGGCCCAGUCACCAUAAGCUGUGACCCAGCUUCUGUGGGCCUCCACCUUCACUGGAAACACAUCCAAGUUCCUGUCCAUUGCCCUACGUUUAGGACACCAUGCCAAGAAAAGGACUUCAGAACCAACAUCGUUCUGAAGAAGCUGGUGUCCUUUGCCUUGCUAGACAAGCCAUCCUCUUGAAGUCCCUGGGCUCCAAGGAGCACUACUGUGUGGCCCAGAAGAAGACCAAAAGGAUCUUCUGUGUGGAGAACAGGAUCUACCUCUAUGGACUCUGCUCUCCCCUUAGCACAGUGCCAUUGGAGCAGCUGCUGAGGAUCAAAUGGAGAGACUUCUAAAACAAAUAGCAUCUCUAUGUGAGAAGAUCCAAGAAAAUUAGGAGAAACUAGAGGCAGAGAAUAUAAUGACAACUUGGUACAGAAACUACUUGACUCUGCAGAAAAAAUAAAUGAUCAGAACAGAAUACAGGCCAUGGCACUCAGUUCCCUGGGAAGAGGACAAGCAGCAUAUUGAGUGUGUGACACAUGAAGGUCAGUGUGUGGUAGAGAGACUCAGGGAAGUGAAGCCAUGAUGGUCCAAACAACAAUCGACUAAGAGAAAUGCUCAGAGCUGAUGGCAGUGUCCCGAAACGAUCCUUGGGAUGGCUGCAGGUGAGCAUGGAGGAGUGCAGGAAAUUUUUUAUUGUCUGGACCUACCCUGAUGAUUGUUGUACUGAGAUAGCUUUCAGUAUUUCCUGCUUUCAUAUUAGGGGCUUUCCUUCUCAGGAAUAAUCUGGAGGAGCUCGAGUUUGUAAUGAUCUUGAAAUUAUAAUUUCUCAAGGUUUAUGUCCUAACUUUAUGCUUUUGUAGUGUUCUCUGAAAUUGGGAAUUCAGUGGUUGUUGUUUCCAGCACUCCAUUACCUCUAAUGGAUAUUGAGCACAAUUUGAAAGAAAGCUAUUCCUUGAUUUCUUCUGUCUGAAAGCUGUCUUUUUGAGAGUUCAUUAGGAGGUUGGGAUUUUGGGCCAGAGUUCUAUUGGGUAGUACAUGGUAGCCUCCAACUAACAAUAAUCCU
RNA transcript from Mesocricetus auratus (golden hamster), 2792 nucleotides. RefSeq lists it as uncharacterized. The record is from RefSeq and is a predicted model, not a curated record. Lineage: Eukaryota; Metazoa; Chordata; Mammalia; Rodentia; Cricetidae. The transcript has 25 exons.